GACAGAGGUGCCGAGCGUUAGGCGGAAUCACUGGGCUUAAAGCGUGUGUAGGCGGAUGCCUAAGUACCUUGUGAAAUCCCACGGCUCAACCGUGGAACUGCUGGGUAUGCUGGGUGUCUUGAGCUGUCUAGGGGCAACUGAAACAAGUGGUGGAGCGGUGAAAUGCGUAGAUAUCAAGAGGAAUACCUGAGGUGAAGACGGGUUGCUAGGCCGACACUGACGCUGAAGCGCGAAAGCCAGGGGAGCAAACGGG
RNAcentral lists this ribosomal RNA (253 nucleotides) under uncultured bacterium. RNAcentral's name for it is "partial 16S ribosomal RNA". It matches the Rfam family "Bacterial small subunit ribosomal RNA", at positions 524 to 776 of the family's 1533-position model. The record is from RNAcentral.